AGUGGCGGACGGGUGAGUGACACGUAAGAAUUUGCCUUUAGGAGGGGGACAACAACUGGAAACGGUUGCUAAUACCCCAUAUGCUUUCGAGUGAAAUGGAUUUAUCCGCCUAGAGAGAAGCUUGCGGCUGAUUAGCUUGUUGGUAAGGUAAUGGCUUACCAAGGCGACGAUCAGUAUCUGGUUUGAGAGGAUGAUCAGACACACUGGAACUGAGACACGGUCCAGACUCCUACGGGAGGCAGCAGUGGGGAAUUUUCCGCAAUGGGCGAAAGCCUGACGGAGCAAUACCGCGUGAGGGAUGAAGGCCUAUGGGUUGUAAACCUCUUUUUUCAGGGAGGAAUCAAAUGACGUGUACCUGAAGAAUAAGCAUCGGCUAACUCCGUGCCAGCAGCCGCGGUAAGACGGGGGAUGCAAGUGUUAUCCGGAAUCACUGGGCGUAAAGCGUCUGUAGGUGGUUAAAUAAGUCAACUGUUAAAUCUUGAGGCUCAACCUCAAAAUCGCAGUCGAAACUGUUUGACUAGAGUAUAGUAGGGGUAAAGGGAAUUUCCAGUGGAGCGGUGAAAUGCGUAGAGAUUGGAAAGAACACCGAUGGCGAAGGCACUUUACUGGGCUAUUACUAACACUGAGAGACGAAAGCUAGGGUAGCAAAUGGGAUUAGAUACCCCAGUAGUCCUAGCUGUAAACAAUGGAUACUAGA
Molecule: ribosomal RNA, 697 nt
Filed under: uncultured bacterium
Lineage: Bacteria
Description: bacterial SSU rRNA
Rfam family: Bacterial small subunit ribosomal RNA
Source: RNAcentral